CUUCUUCGAUUUGCUGCGGACAGAUGAAGUGAAUAUGGGUAUCGACCCCGCCGGCGGUAACGAUCAUGCCCUCGCCGGCGAUGAUUUCGGUGGCGCCGCCGAUUGCCAUUGUCACGCCAGGUUGAAUGUCGGGGUUGCCCGCCUUGCCGAUGGCGGCAAUCAGGCCGUUUUUCAGGCCAAUGUCGGCCUUGACGAUACCCCAGUGGUCGACGAUUACGGCGUUGGUGAUGACCGUGUCCAUGACAUCUGCAUGCAGGCGCUGUGACUGGCCCAUGCCGUCACG
Molecule: small RNA, 283 nt
Filed under: Massilia sp. CF038
Lineage: Bacteria; Pseudomonadati; Pseudomonadota; Betaproteobacteria; Burkholderiales; Oxalobacteraceae
Description: 5' ureB small RNA
Rfam family: 5' ureB small RNA
Source: Rfam by way of RNAcentral